RNAcentral lists this long non-coding RNA (887 nucleotides) under Strongylocentrotus purpuratus (purple sea urchin). RNAcentral's name for it is "uncharacterized LOC105438178, transcript variant X2". Lineage: Eukaryota; Metazoa; Echinodermata; Echinoidea; Camarodonta; Strongylocentrotidae. The record is from RNAcentral.
UUUUCGUACCACGGCGAGGCCGGAUUCCUGUUUUAUCAUGAAUAUUCAUUAGGCAGGGUCGGGGAAAGUCUCGAUUCUCUUAAAUAUUCAUAUCGAGGUGGGAAUGCACGACGCGCGCUAUACUCGCACAAAGUGAGAAGAUUUAGUUCACGGAGAAUGCAUAUGGAUUGAAACUGAAGAGCUGGAAGGAGGACAUUACAACAUCUCUUAUAUUUGCAAGAUGAAGCAGAAAGUCCCAUGCAGGAUGAUGCCUCUCUACAGUGGAUGAUGAAGGCAUUCUGGUUUGCAAACUCAGGAGAGGAACAAAGAACAGAUGUUGACGGGAUCCUAUCUAGAGAUGCGGGCCUACUACACUUCAUACGAGCAAGUGUGCUAAUAUACAUGAAGGUACCCCCAAUAAAUUUUUGUGGAACAAAUGUCAUGGAGAAAAUUAUAGAUCUGAAACAGAUAUUUUUCAUUGUCAGUUGACUUGUAAAAGAAUAAUUGACUUAAUAUCACAAUUGUAAUUUAGAUUAAAAAUUAAAUGUCAAUAUAGAUAAAAUAUAAGUCUACAUUACGUAUGUUUCAGUAGCAUUAUUUCCAGUACAUUCGCUGGUCAAAGUUGUUUGGUCAUUUUAUGUCCCAUACUUAACCGAGUAUUAUUCAAUUACCGGUAUGAGCACGAGUUGUAUUACAUUGUAUUACUUAUUUCAUACCUUGUCUGAUCCGAGCUCCAGCAGGCCUAUCGUCUUAAUGGGAUCAUCAGUAAUAAUUUAAGAUGCGGUCAGUAUUUAAACUAGUCUUGUACAAAAAAUAGUUUAGGUUUGCCCACUAGAACCCCAAGUGAAUUUCAGUCCUUCCUUUUUCUGAGCAGGUAUCAGGGUGUAUGUUAUUAGUCAUUGUUGAUU